This 487-nucleotide ribosomal RNA is filed under the name uncultured bacterium. Its description in RNAcentral is "bacterial SSU rRNA". It matches the Rfam family "Bacterial small subunit ribosomal RNA", at positions 28 to 526 of the family's 1533-position model. The record is from RNAcentral.
GACGAACGCUGGCGGCGUGCUUAACACAUGCAAGUCGAACGAUGAAGCGGCCAGCUUGCUGGUGGUGGAUUAGUGGCGAACGGGUGAGUAACACGUGAGUAACCUGUCCUUCACUCUGGGAUAAGCCCUGGAAACGGGGUCUAAUACUAGAUAUUCUCAAUGUGCCGCAUGGUGUGUUGUGGAAAGAUUUUUUGGUGAGGGUUGGACUCGCGGCCUAUCAGCUUGUUGGUGGGGUAGUGGCCUACCAAGGCUUUGACGGGUAGCCGGCCUGAGAGGGUGACCGGCCACACUGGGACUGAGACACGGCCCAGACUCCUACGGGAGGCAGCAGUGAGGAAUAUUCCGCAAUGGGCGAAAGCCUGACGGAGCAAUGCCGCGUGGAGGAUGACGGCCCGUGGGUUGUAAACUCCUUUUCUUGGAGAAGAAUAACUGACGGUAUCCAAGGAAUAAGCAUCGGCUAACUCCGUGCCAGCCGCCGCAGUAAGAC